RNAcentral lists this long non-coding RNA (1396 nucleotides) under Vombatus ursinus (common wombat). RNAcentral describes it as "lncRNA (ENSVURG00010024731.1)". The record is from RNAcentral. Lineage: Eukaryota; Metazoa; Chordata; Mammalia; Diprotodontia; Vombatidae.
AGGGCCCAGGUUCCCCGCGCCCCAAACCGACGGGGACGGGGCUUGUGAAGCCCCUCAAGCCCAGAAUGCAUCGCGGCGGAUGUUUUGAAACCGAGGCUCCCGGAAAGUUGCCGGCGCGUGAAGGAACCUGGGAUUGAUUCUAGGGGACUUCUGGGAGAAAGAGGGCUCGCCAGGAGCAAAGGGGCGCAAAAUUCGAUUUCGCUGCAGGCGCUCAGCCUCUGGGAGGAAAGAGUCGGGGGAGAUGUUGAUCUCCCAGACCUUCCAUCCUGUUUGCCUCCUGGCGCUGUCAUUGCUGAGGUGCUGCUGAAAGAACCUGGUUCGCCUUGGAAUUUUAGUGGUGACUUCGAAUUUGAACUGGCCACUGCAUCAAGCUCUUCUUUUUUUUCUGGGAGAUAGGAUUGCUCUGGUGAUGAUACAUUGGGAUAAUUUUAACUGUUUUCUCCCAAGAGAAUGAUUUGGUAAUCAUUGGUUUGUUGCUUAUUUCUUGAUUUUAUGUGUUGUGCUUUGGUUAUUUUGCCUCAGAAAUUCACUCUCCAUAUCUAAAUCACUUUUAUUUGCUUUUCUGUACUUACAAUGAGCAAUCUUUUUCCUGAUUUUUCUUUUCUUUCUUUUUUUAGGCACAAAUAACUUUGUUUCAUCUCCUGGUUAUAUAUUAAAAUUGUUUUUCCAGGGAAUAUUCCAGGAAAACUUCUGUCAUUUUCGGUUUUAUUGUUUUUAUGUAACUAGAUGUUUCUGUAGGUCUUUUCAGACUAACUUCAUCUCUUGUACUUUACCUACUGCUGAAAUGAAAACAUUUUUGUUCAGUAUGUCUGUUGCUAAAUGUUAUGAUGUGCUGUGUGUUUAUAAGCAAGUCCUGAAGGCCUGUUAUGUGUAUAAUUAUAUGAUAUGUGUUAGUAUUUGAAAAAGUUGAUAAUCUUCCAUGAAUUUGAGUUCAUGCCUUUUGAUAUUUCUUGCAUAGUAUAUUAAAUUGUAUAGGGUUUUGCUUGCUGUAAUAGUGUUUAAUUUUGUUGCUUGAAUGAAUAUGAGUAUUAAAUUUGUCAUACGUGGAGCAGUCUUCUAAAAGAUGGGCCUUAAAGCAGUUGAAUGUACCGUGGUGGUGUGUUUGGUGUGGAAAAUCAUAGCGGUUGUCUAAUGCUAGACAUAGAUUCAGAAUAUAAGGAUAAAAAUAUUUUAAGGACACUGCACAGGAUACAAAGAGGUUUGAAUAUUGUACAGUCAAGGCUACAAACAUAAAAACAAGUAAGAAAAUUCAGGAAGUUUUCUUGGUAUUGCCUGAGUCACUGGAGCAAUUGGCAGUAGUAAGUAGUACCUGCAGCCACAGUCCAGACUCUGAGGAAGAAGAACUUCUAAAAAAUCUGCGACCAAUACUAAGCCAAGAAGGUUGGUCUACAAAGAA